CUACGGGGGGCAGCAGUGAGGAAUAUUGCACAAUGGGGGGAACCCUGAUGCAGCAACGCCGCGUGGAGGAUGACGCAUUUCGGUGUGUAAACUCCUUUUAUAUGUCAAGAAAAUGACGGUAGCAUAUGAAUAAGCACCGGCUAACUCCGUGCCAGCAGCCGCGGUAAUACGGAGGGUGCAAGCGUUACUCGGAAUCACUGGGCGUAAAGGACGCGUAGGCGGGUUGGAAAGUCAGGUGUGAAAUCCUACAGCUUAACUGUAGAACUGCACUUGAAACUUCUAAUCUAGAGUAUGGGAGGGGAGAUGGAAUUAGUGGUGUAGGGGUAAAAUCCGUAGAUAUCACUAGGAAUACCUAAAGCGAAGGCGAUCUCCUGGAACAUUAUUGACGCUAAGGCGUGAAAGCGUGGGGAGCAAACAGAAUUAGAUACCCCUGUAGUC
Molecule: ribosomal RNA, 438 nt
Filed under: uncultured bacterium
Lineage: Bacteria
Description: partial 16S ribosomal RNA
Rfam family: Bacterial small subunit ribosomal RNA
Source: RNAcentral